Molecule: ribosomal RNA, 254 nt
Filed under: uncultured bacterium
Lineage: Bacteria
Description: partial 16S ribosomal RNA
Rfam family: Bacterial small subunit ribosomal RNA
Source: RNAcentral
UACGGAGGAGGCAAGCGUUAUCCGGAAUUAUUGGGCGUAAAGCGUCCGUAGAUGGUCGCUUCAAGUCUGCUGUCAAAGACUGGGGCUUAACCCUGGAAAGGCCGUGGAAACUGAAUAGCUAGAGUGCAGUAGGGGUAGAGGGAAUUCCCGGUGUAGCGGUGAAAUGCGUAGAGCUCGGGAAGAACAUCGGUGGCGAAAGCGCUCUGCUGGACUGCAACUGACACUCAGGGACGAAAGCUAGGGGAGCGAAUGGG